UUAACUUAAUUUUGUAUGGAGUUGGAGCGUUUGCCUAUGUUAGCCGUCAGGGGCGCUGUUCCAACUCCAUACAAAUUUGAGUUA
Bombyx mori (domestic silkworm) is the source of this 84-nucleotide non-coding RNA. NCBI's taxonomy places the organism in Eukaryota, Metazoa, Arthropoda, Insecta, Lepidoptera, Bombycidae. The record is from Rfam.